UACGGGGGGAGCAAGCGUUGUUCGGAUUUACUGGGCGUAAAGCGCGCGUAGGCGGCUUUGUAAGUUAGAGGUGAAAGCCCGGGGCUCAACCCCGGAACUGCCUUUAAGACUGCAUCGCUUGAAUCCGGGAGAGGUGAGUGGAAUUCCGAGUGUAGAGGUGAAAUUCGUAGAUAUUCGGAAGAACACCAGUGGCGAAGGCGGCUCACUGGACCGGUAUUGACGCUGAGGUGCGAAAGCGUGGGGAGCAAACAGG
This 253-nucleotide ribosomal RNA is filed under the name uncultured bacterium. Its description in RNAcentral is "partial 16S ribosomal RNA". It matches the Rfam family "Bacterial small subunit ribosomal RNA", at positions 524 to 776 of the family's 1533-position model. The record is from RNAcentral.